This 497-nucleotide ribosomal RNA is filed under the name uncultured bacterium. RNAcentral's name for it is "partial 16S ribosomal RNA". It matches the Rfam family "Bacterial small subunit ribosomal RNA", at positions 28 to 507 of the family's 1533-position model. The record is from RNAcentral.
GACGAACGCUGGCGGCGUGCCUAAUACAUGCAAGUUGAGCGCUGAAGGUUGGUACUUGUCCCAACUGGAUGAGCAGCGAACGGGUGAGUAACGCGUGGAGAAUCUGCCUUUGAGCGGGGGACAACAUUUGGAAACGAAUGCUAAUACCGCAUAAAAACUUUAAACACAAGUUUUAAGUUUGAAAGAUGCAAUUGCAUCACUCAAAGAUGAUCCCGCGUUGUAUUAGCUAGUUGGUGAGGUAAAGGCUCACCAAGGCGAUGAUACAUAGCCGACCUGAGAGGGUGAUCGGCCACAUUGGGACUGAGACACGGCCCAAACUCCUACGGGAGGCAGCAGUAGGGAAUCUUCGGCAAUGGACGAAAGUCUGACCGAGCAACGCCGCGUGAGUGAAGAAGGGUUUCGGAUCGUAAAACUCUGUUGGUAGAGAAGAACGUUGGUGAGAGUGGAAAGCUCAUCAAGUGACGGUAACUACCCAGAAAGGGACGGCUAACUACGUG